This is a non-coding RNA of Malus domestica (apple), 1582 nucleotides long. NCBI's taxonomy places the organism in Eukaryota, Viridiplantae, Streptophyta, Magnoliopsida, Rosales, Rosaceae. The record is from RefSeq and is a predicted model, not a curated record.
GCGUGCACGGCGUAACAUUACCGCCACUCAAACCGAAUUCUUCUCAAGCUCCUCCUUCCGUCCUUCUUCUUCCUUCCCUCGUCGUCGGUGGAUACCCAAAGGUCAACACUUUGUUCCUUCGAAUUUGGUUCGGAGAAGUAAUCCGGUACAGCACGACCAUGAAGAUUGUCCGGAAGGACUAUAUUCCCGGCGGACCCGGCAGCGUUAAGAUGAUACCGGUAGAAUCAGAUGAUUUGUGGUAUGCUUAUAAUUUGAUUGCUCCGGGAGACACAGUCAUGGCUGUCACUGUUAGGAAAGUUCUAAGAGAAGCGGCUGCUGGUGGAAGAGAUGCAGAGCGCGUGAAGCUGAAGUUAGAAAUAAAAGUCGAGGAGGUUGCUGAUUAUGACAAAGUAGGAGCUGUCUUGCGUAUACGUGGGAAGAAUAUCCUGGAGAAUGAAUAUGUAAAGAUAGGAGCAUUUCACACUUUGGAGCUUGAGCUGCACCGACCUUUUGUCUUAAGAAAGGAUGUCUGGGACUCAUUGGCCUUGCACGAACUCCAUCAAGCCUCCAAUCCGAGUGCAAGUGCUGAUCUAGCUGUGGUUUUAAUGCAAGAAGGAUUAGCACAUAUUCUCCUUAUUGGUAAAAGUAUGACAAUUACUCGUUCGCGAAUAGAAACUUCAAUUCCUCGCAAGCACGGACCUGGGAUUGCAGGUUAUGAGUCGGCUUUGAAUAAGUUCUUUGAGAACGUGUUACAGGCAUUCUUGAAGCACGUUGAUUUCAGUGUUGUUCGCUGUGCUGUGAUUGCAAGUCCAGGUUUCACAAAGGAUCAGUUUCAUCGUCACCUAUUAUUGGAAGCAGAAAGAAAACAGCUGAGAACUAUUAUUGAGAACAAGUCGCGGAUUAUUCUUGUGCACACAAGCUCAGGUUACAAGCAUAGCUUAAGGGAGGUUCUAGAUGCUCCAAAUGUGAUGAAUAUGAUAAAAGAUACUCAAGCGGCGCAAGAGGUUCGAGUUCUCCAAGAUUUCUUUGGCAUGCUUUCAAAUGAUCCGGAUCGUGCAUGCUAUGGACCGAAGCAUGUUGAAGUUGCUCAUGAUCGAAUGGCUGUCCAAACCCUUUUGAUAACGGAUGAACUCUUCAGGAAUGCCGAUGUAGUAGCGAGGCAAAGGUAUGCCAAUUUGGUGAAGUCAGUGAAGGAUUCAGGGGGCACCGUUCAUAUCUUUUCUUCUUUGCAUGUUUCGGGAGAACAACUGGCGCAGAUAACUGGCAUUGCUGCAAUCCUUCGUUUCUGUUGGAACCAAGAAGUAUGGACAUUGAAUAUUGUAUAAUAAACUCAAGCACAUGCAGCACGGGCAGCAUAUAUUCUUGUUCUGUCAGCUUUCUAUCUCCACAUCAUGUGUGGUCUUCGACAAAGACAAGCACGGGCAGCAUGGAGAAGGUUAUGGAGCUGUUAGUAUUAUAAGUCCUCUCAGUUUUUUAUCUUUGUGUUGUCCCAAGAGUUUUGUAUAGGGAUGGGUGGUUGUAACCGGUUCUUUACUACUCAUAUAUAUGAGUUAGUUGUUAACUCUUAAUAUAUACGAAAGACAUAUAUUUUUGAACAUAAAAA